Molecule: long non-coding RNA, 5624 nt
Organism: Ailuropoda melanoleuca (giant panda)
Lineage: Eukaryota; Metazoa; Chordata; Mammalia; Carnivora; Ursidae
Exons: 3
Source: RefSeq, a predicted model, not a curated record
ACCCCGCCCCCUCCGCUGCAGGAGGAGGGGAGGCUGAGCCGAGGGCUUCGCCAGUCCCGUAACCUACGCACGCAGUGUGGCCGCAUGGCGGGGGCAGACCUGUAGCUAAGAGGGGGAGAAGAAAGCGCAGUGGGAGGAAUGGCCUAGCCCACACCUCCGCUGGAUGAGGAAGCAGGGGCUGCUCUCCCUUCAGCAAAUAAAAAGCCAGAGGACACUGAAAAAGUGGCUAAGAACAACUCUCCUCGGAUCGCGUUGCUGCUGGCAGGCUUUCAGAAGAAUCAGGAAAGAUAAGCAAUGAACAAUGAAGGGGUGACGUAAAGCAGGGUCAUUUGUAUAAAUUCUGGCAAGGGGCCCGUUGGUGAGGCGUGUGUGCCCCGAUGAGCGAACGCCGUGGGUCCUGGCUAAGGGGGAUGAGGCCAGUUAGUAAAAGUCCGAAUCGUGGACAGGGAGCUGUGGGACCUCCAGGGUCUGCUGGGUCACGGAGCUUUGACUGAGGCUACCAUGGCUCUGGGGCUGCACCCCGGACUUCCACUGUCUCUGACCUCAUGGGACACAGGUCCCAGUGAGGGAGACCACCAGCCAACCCCAAGAACGUCCUGUGCCUGUUGGUGGCAAGAGGAAGAGAGUACCUCCCUCCUGGCCUCUCCCUCCCACCUCCUGAGUGGAUAUUCUUACACUCCUCCCUCCAUCCGCCUGCCUGCUCUCAAUGACGCACACAGGCUCCAGCAGCCGUCAUGACUCUCCACUCACAUCCGUUGUCAUUGUCGGCUGUGGAGCUCCCGCCGAGGCCCUGGGCUCCUCCCGCUAUUCCCCUGCUCCUUUCCCUCCCAGGGAGUGCUGUCCUUUUCUGGGCCACGGAGGGGGUAGGGGGGUAGCGGUGGGGGGAGGGAGAUGCUUGCAAAGCCCAGCCCCCACCUCCCUUCAGGAGAGGAGAAACUCACUGUCCAUCUGGGGGAGAACUGGGCAGCCCCAGGGGGAGAGCUCUGGGGCUCUGGUGCCCAAGGGACUGCACAUGUCCUCCCUUCCCUUCCCCUCCCCUUCCUUCCCUGGGUCCCGCAGUGUUCACCACCAGCUCAGCGGCUUUGCGGGUCCUUGCUGGGAAUCGGAGCCUCCAGGCGCCUCCUCUGAUCCUGACAUGCACAAUUUUACUCCAAGUCCCAAGUGACAAGUGACAGUAUCAACGUCUGUGACUUCCGCUGGGAUCCCAGAGCUGGCAGGAAAGGAAAGCAGCUAGCUCCUCGCAAACAUGGGUAUGCAGGCGAUGUCUCCCCAACUUCUUCAAGGCCAGAGAAUGCUGUGGCCCAGCUGUGGUGGCACCCCACGUAGGGGUGGGCGUGACAGAGGGGGAGGGGGAGGCGACUCUCCCGCUGUGUCCGUGAGCUGGCUGCCCCCUCCUGCUGCCCACCUGGACCUCCAUAUAGCACAUCCAGACCCAUGCCUGAGAGUCACUCCUGCCCCAUGGACGCCCCUGGCACCUGGGCGGGGUGAGUGAGGGGAGGUGCUGGGAAUGGCCCGUGUCGGAGGAAGGAGGUUUACCACCGGGAGAAGGGUCAGAGAGGACCACACUGGGCGGUGACUCCUAAAAUGGUCUUUGUGGUGAAUUCUUGUGGAAGACCAGCAGGAAGAGGGACGUGGCCAUUUAGGACAGGGUUGCUCCAGCCCCAGCCCUUGUGUCCUGAGUCCCCAGGGCAGCCUGGGGAGGGAGGUUCGGGUCUGCACCCCCAGCCCCAGGAUGGUGUGGACUCAGUCAAGUGGCCACGUGUGAGCUGAUGGGUGCUCGAAGACCUGUGUCUGUUGGGAACUUCGGGAGAGUCUAUUAAGGAGGAAGAACAGGGGUGCUGGUCCCUCCCGGGGCCUCCUCCCAAAGCCAUAAGUUACGUCCAUUCACGUGCUGGACAUGGAUGAUGGCUUCUAAGUUUCCCAGAGCUGCUGUAACAAAGGAUUGAGGAUUGAGCGGCUUAAAAUACCGAAAUGGAUUCUCUCACAGUUCUGGGGGCCAGAGGUUCUAAAUCCAGAUGUCAGCAGGGCGUGCUUCCCCUGAAAGUUCUGGGGGACAAUGUGUUUCCUGUCUCUCUCCCAGCUGCCAGUGCUGCCGGCAGUCCUUGGAGCUCCUUGGUUUGUAGAUGGGUCCCUCCGACCUCGGCCUCCAUCACCCGUGGUUGAGUCUCCCUGUGUCUCUGGGUGUCCUCGCCUCUCUUAGAAGGACACCAGUCAUUGGAUUUACCAACAGGCGAGGCUGGAGGCAGGUCUCUGUGGCCAGCUGGCCAUGUCCCUUGAAUGCGUUUUUCUUAGGGCAGUCGGGGCACAGGAGGGGAGGGCAAGCUAGCCUGCUCUCCAGGGAGUGCUGCCUCACCCAAGAUGGGGGGCAAGGGCUCUCCCUCCUUCCUUCCACUUAGCCCGUCCUGAAGCUCCUUGAAGGCAGGCUCGGGUGGGCAACGGGGACAAGCUUGAAUGCCCACUGUGUGUCCAGUGGCAAGGACUUGAUCUCCCAGAAGGAUUUCCAGGCAGGGUCCUGGGUCCCCACCCUCUCCACCCAGAUGCUGGCCCCAGUAACUCCCCAUGGAACAUCUCCGUGCAGAUGUGCCCCUGGGAAGCUAAAGGCAGGUAGGAGAUGCCCCAGCUGGGGUACGUGGAAAGUGUUUCCUCAAACAGCACAGGCACACCCACCCCCAGUGAGCUUGUGUGGACAUGCGCGAACUAGUGAGUUAGCGCCCAGCGCAGAGGGCGGCCUGGAACACGCACACUGUUAUUACCAGUAAAAGCACUGUGGCCGGUGGGCAUGUAGAGCCGGGUGUCACUCCCAAGUUGACCUUGAGCCCUGGCUCCAUAGGAAACCAUCUGCCGCCUCCUCUCCCAGCUGGGAGCGUACUCCCCGGGGCUGGAGGGGGUGCACUGGCAUCACCGUGUGUCUGGGGGGACCUUGGCACCCUGGUGCUCUCCUAAGUGGGCGACCUCCCUGGGGAUCCCAGGCCAGAGCCGCACCCUCUGGAACUGGGACUCCUGGGUACAGGGCGGGACAGAAACCGAACAGGCUGUACCCAGGAAUGCAAAUGACCCUGCCUAAGAAAAGGGAAGGACAUCCAGCCGCAGCCCGGUCCUGGCAGCCCCACGUAUGGACACAGCUGGCAAGGAAAGUUCCCUUGCCCCAAGUCAGCCACUUCCUGUCUUAGUUCUGUAGGGGAGGAGGAGAGGCGACCCUGGUCCGUAAGGCCUGGGGUCUAGCCAGGCCCGAGGCACGGCUGCUCCGUCCACCCCAAACCCUGUGGACCUCUCUUGUCCAUCCGGCCUUGGCAAACUAGGGACCCCCUGCCAUGGUGACCCCGUUUCCACCCCCAAAUGUGGGGCCCAGAGUUGGACAAGCCAGAUCACAGAGGGGCAGUGCCGGCCACUCCACCAGGGUCCACAUGGACACGGGGGACCGAAGUCGUGGCAGCUGGGGGCAGGGCGGUGAAGACCGAGUGGGAGACGGGCUUCCCGAAGGAGAGGCACUGCUCCCGCCCUCCCCGGCCCCAGGGCAGCGGAGCCUCCUCCAGAGGAGGAAGUGGGCAGCUGGCCCAGGAAGGACCAUUGCUCAGCGCACGAAGGGGAGGCCUGUGCUCUUUCCGGGGCAGGAAGGCUCUUCAGUUCAACUAAGCGGGGAGCCCUGGGACCAGCCCGGGGUCACCCGAGCUCCUUCCCCUGGGCCCGGAGACCCAGAGGCCCCUGCCCAGUGUGAGUCUCUCAGCGGCCACGGGCCACCGGGUAGCUGUGGGAGAGGCCCUGGCAGGAAGCCGCCCUUGGAUGGCGCAGCCGUGGCCGGAGCCUGCCAAGCCCGACACCCACCUCACAGGGGCCGAUACUGACGUGGGGCUGGGCCUUUCCCGCCGGGGCCAGUGACCGCCGACAAUGCUGGUGACACACAGUGGUAGCUGACAUAGGCCCAGGGGCCACGAGCAUCCCUACCCCAGCCAAUAAAGAUAUCUUGACCCCAGGGAGGCAGGCGGCCAUGAAACACACACGUGUUCGGAAUUUGCCUCCAAGUCUGGAACAGUCAUCUGAGCACUAACUCCUUUAACAGAGCUCCCCUCCCCGCCCCGCCCCACCCCGUGCACCGCUGUCUGCGUCCCUGCCUCGGCGAUGGUUGUUGGCAUCGAUGGGCACGUUCGAACCAGGAGACCAGAUGAAGCGGCCACAGAUUUUGAAAUGCCCACGCGUCUUUAUUUCCACAGCCAUGCGCUGUUUGCAGUAGUUCACCGAGCCCUUCAGGACGCGCUGGGGAACGAAGCUGCUGAAAUAGGAAAGCAGCACGGGUGAGGGCCCACAAGUGCCACAGGCCAGCCGUGUCACUGCCGGACGGAAGGCGGCUCGACAGAGGACAUCCCAUAUUCGUUUUCCCCGCCUCACAUGCUGGAUUCUUUCAUAGCGGGUUAGCACCGUGGAACAGUCUCACAGCCUCUGCCCUGGCCCACCUCUGGGAUGGGGAUCCCCGAGCUAUUUCGGGGAGUCGACUCGUUCAUGACCUGGGGAAGAACCCUACGCAGGAGACGGAAGCUCUGCUUUUCCUGCAGUGUCUGAACUCCUCAGACAGUGGUGGGACCACCCUGGGGCUACACGGACACAGGCCGUCGCACCCAGUCCCUGAGGGCGGGGGGGACCCUGUGCGCUGUGUGCGGGGGCCCUGCUGACCUCCUGCCAUUCGCACCCCCCUGUCCCCGGGAAGUGAGCCUCUUCCUGCUCGGCCCGUGGGCCCUUCCAGGGACUGUCCAGGAGCGACUCCCCCGCUCGGGAGGACGUUCCCUAGGAGGGCCACGCCUCUUCCCGCAGACAAUCCUUACCUCCUGAGCAGAAAGCACCCCGUCUUCUCACCGGAGAGUGACCCUGGAGAUCCGGGAAUUAAAGGGUUGUUGAAAUAAGAGUCAAGGAUGAAGCUUCUGGUAAGAUUGUGUCAGUGGAAAUGUCUGGAAAGAAGAGGUCAGCUCAGCGGCUUUCAGUGGAAAACCAGCUUGUUGGGAAGUGUGAAGCUGGAGGGCUCCCCGGAACCUUCUCUGGUUGGAUUCCGAUGGAGGGAGUGUGCGGUGCCACGGGGACCACGUGGCUGACGGGACACGCUGGCUGCAGGUCUCAUGGCCCCGGCUUGGGCCUUGGUUAUUUCUUCUCUCCUUUACAAAAUUGUUUUUCCUAACAAUAACUUUUUUGUUUAAUAAGUUAAAGAACGUUUUGUUUUACUUAUGCGUUUGAUGGAUUGUGUGGUAAAGUACACGUGACACAAGUUUACCGUCGUGACUGUUUCUCAGUGCGCAGCCUGGCGACACUGAGACACUCGAGCUGCUGUGCUGCCGUCCCCUGCGGCCACCUCUGGCAUCCUUCUCAUCUCGGAAACUGAAACUCUUCCCGCUAACCGGGGACACCUGCUUCCCCUGCGCCAGCUCCUGGAAGCUUCCGGUCUACUUUCUGUCUCUGAAAGUGACUCCUCUAGGUCCCUCCUACGAGCGCAAUCACGCGGUGUCCAUCCCUUUGUGUCUGGCAUAUGUCACUGAGCAUAAUGUCCUCUGUCCAUCCAUGUGGUAGCAGGUGCCAAAAUCUCCUUCCUUUUUAAGGCCGAAAAAUAUUCCACUGUAUGUGCAGACUGUGUUUUGUUUAUGCAU